Molecule: long non-coding RNA, 1971 nt
Organism: Conger conger (European conger)
Lineage: Eukaryota; Metazoa; Chordata; Actinopteri; Anguilliformes; Congridae
Exons: 2
Source: RefSeq, a predicted model, not a curated record
UGCCUUGCAGGUAUGCUGACGUCCAUUGUGGUGGCCUCAGCGAUGGGACUUGUGCUCACUGUGACACUCGUCUGCUGUUUGUUGAGGAAGAAAAGGGCUGAGAGAGACCAGCAGAGGGCCAAGAACAUCAUGUACAAGCCAGGCGAGAAAGAAUCUAUCUCCAAAGUGUAACUCUUCAUCACCCGAGAGCAACACAGCUGCAGUGACAAACAAACCAAAAAACCUAUCUGCAAAGGCGCAUGGUGCCCAGCUCAACUGACUGUGCGGCAUAAAUCAGAUCUUUUUUAUUUUUAUUUUUAUUUUUUUUAAUUGACAGGUGUCCUUUUUGACACCCAAGUUUGAGUGUGUAUAUUUAGAUCAGGAGGGACGGGAAUACACAGCUGUAAUGCGUUCACGGGGUUUGGAUGGAUUGUUUUUUGCCCAUGUGACUGUUCUGUUCCAACUGGACUUCCUUUUCAUAUGCUUCUGGCAGGGAGAGACAACGCUAUGACUGGCUGCCUUUAUGCUGACUGAGGUCGGGGAAGUGGUGGUGGUAUAAUUUAACAUAGGAUAGAUUUCCACUGGGUAGUGAGAAAUUCUGUCUUCUCCAGCAACAGUCAUUCAUUGUCAUGACUCAUGAGUAACUUCAUUGCUUCUCAAACUACCAGAGGGGAUACAGGGCACAGGCCAAAAGGUGAGAUGUUUGUAAGAUUCAUAUGUAAAGAGGUAAAUGGAGGUGAGGAGGAACAGGGCGGGGCUCCUAAGCGCUGUAAAAAGAGUAGGGGCACAUUCAAUCGGAAAACAUUUUCCUAUGGUUUCCAUGUUGAACGAUACAUUUCCUCCCAAUGCCGUGCAUUGUUUUGCAAUGUCUGUUUGCUCCCGUUUGGUGGUUGUGUCAGGGGCGUAGCCCGAAUUAAUAAUGAUGUAGGCCUAUGCGAGAAUGUACAGAAUGGCCUUCUCAGACGCCAUAGUAGCAAACCGUACCCGUACUCGUGUCAGUCCGCCCACGGUUUGCACCAGGAUGUUCCACACACCACCGUUUCCAUUUAAGUAAACAUUGAGGCUGAACAUGACCCAGCUCUCAGGGACAACAGCCUGGCAAAGGACACCCCGUGCUGCAUCGGGGAUCACGUAUCUACAAUAUCCCCUGGAUUCCAUUCCAUCUGGAGAGAUCGCAGAGUUCUACAUGGGUGACCUGUGGGAAUAAUGCACAAAACCCCAUUGUUUGCCCUGGACUGGCUGUGGGCUGACCCCUGACCCCGCUCUGCCUGACCAGUCAUGAGACCGACGCCCAAGCGACUGCGGAGCCAAAGAGGAGGUGCUUGAACCUCACGGCCUGCUACAGAACACCAGUAUCCAAUAAGCUUGACAAAAUGGCCUCCGAUCUCACUGCCUGACUGAGUAUUACAAUCCAGUUUAUUCCAGUUGUAUUGCCUCGUUCAAGAUUCCAGGGACAAACUGGAAUCACUAAUAUAAUUGAUCUGUCCAGACAAUGUGCAAAUUCACUUAUGAUCUAAGAUACAGCCUGUAAAUACAUACAUGUAUUUAUGCAUUUAGAAAUUUCUUUAAAUAGAAAUGAAUUACUUUUAUUACAUUAAUUUAUUUAAAUUGAAAUAUAAAUACAUAAAGGUAUUGUCCCACAUCAUUGCCAUUGUUAUAUAUCGUGUUGCUGAGGAUUUAAGCCUGGAUGAAAAAAAAAAAAAAACCCUCAUAGUUUUGUAAUGCUGAUUAACAUGAUUUCGGUGAAUACAGGGUACCUUCUAAGAUUGUUUUUCUCGCUGAUGUUUUGUCAUUCUGAUUUUUUGAUGUUUUGAUGUUAUAAUUGCAGAGGUUAUUGCUGUAUUAUUUUGUCUUUUUUUGUUGUAACACCUUCUGUGUAAAGCAGAGAAUGUUACUGGAAGCUUAAUACGCUUGAUUUUGAAAGGUUAAGAUUCAAAUGUUUCACAAAUUGUGGCACACAUUCUUUAUAAAAGCUGUUCUUGUAAGACCUGA